GCAGAACUAAAUUUAAGUCUUCAUGAUCUAUAAAAGACUUAUAAAUGCAGAGAAAUUAGCAAGUAGAUUACUUCUAAAGGCAACGUAAAUAAAUGGAAACAUUAUCAAGUUAUGGAUUUCUUUCGAGAUUCCUGUCUGCAAAAAAAUGCUAUUUCCAAUAUUAGUGAUGGAGAGAGCAGCAGCAAUGUUUGCGAGAAUAAUGAAGACAGUCAAGAUACGAGCAUAUCAGGAAAAUUUUUGACCAAGAAGAGAAUCUCUGAAUAUUCCACCGUCAUUGCGACAUCCGUAGGCUCCAAUAUCCACAAAAGUAAAA
Molecule: long non-coding RNA, 313 nt
Organism: Cataglyphis hispanica
Lineage: Eukaryota; Metazoa; Arthropoda; Insecta; Hymenoptera; Formicidae
Exons: 3
Source: RefSeq, a predicted model, not a curated record